This 28-nucleotide non-coding RNA is filed under the name Rattus norvegicus (Norway rat). The record is from RNAcentral. Lineage: Eukaryota; Metazoa; Chordata; Mammalia; Rodentia; Muridae.
UCGGCCAUCUUUUGUGUUUCAUCAGUCU